CCCUCUCCGAUGUCUCUCACAUAUUCAAUGUUAUUCCUUGGAUACUCCAGGCUGAGCAAUUUGGGGUUCAGAAGGAGCGGCAUCCUCUGCAAUAGAGAGUAGUUAUGGUAAGAAGCACAAAUAUUGCAAAGCUGGACAUGAUGGAGAUUAUUACAGUCAUGGAGUAUGUAGGUGAGACAGAGAAGGAAGAAGAGGAGGAGGAAGGCAGAUUUGGAAUGUCCACACUUGGCUUUGAGGACGUCAUUGGUGGGAAUGCUCUUGAUGACCACUAGCUUAUACAAACCCUUUAUGUGCUGGGAAAAAACAUACACAUACAAAGUAUAUGAUUAUUAUUAGUUUUCUACAUUUCAUUUCUAUGAUGUUCCUGGAAUAAUUAAGGACUUGGCUUUGGUAUUAUAUCAGUGCUUGGAUUAGCUCUAAAAGGUAAGGCACACACAAGACCGAUGAUCUACCUACCUAUCUAUCUAUCUAUCUAUCUAUCUAUCUAUCUAAUCUAUCUAUCUAUCUAUCUAAAUUUAUAUAUAUCUGAAUUUGUUUAUCUAUCAACUACCUAUAGUUUCAGUGUUUCAACCACUUCCUUUUCCUCUCCUCUUGUGCAGAAAUAUAAGCCUUCAAUUUUACACAGUGAUCAAAUUCUAGAUGCAAGACACAGAGGCCAACUGGAACAUUUUGUCCCUCAAACCCCUAAAUCUAUCACUUCAAACAUUUUUAAAAGGAGCUCACAGCAAGAACUGGGGAAUGAGAUAAAUGCAAAUAAUUUCCAUUGGUGUCUUCUGUUGUCUUUUGUAAGUGACAAGACCCCUCCAUGUCCAGCUAAAGUUGUGUUUCUCUGCCUGCAGUUCGUGGUACUGCUGAUGGGGCAACACUAGAAGCAGCUGGUCCUGUUGCUCAUUAGAACCGUGGGACAGAGGUCACAGGGAUCCAUUCACAGAAUGCUGGUUAUUUCGGAAUCAUCAGCCAGACUAGCUUCUAAUAAUGCUAGUUAAUAUUGCACAUGGAAACAGUCCCUCUCUUGCCUCCUUACAAUAUAAACUCAGUUGACUUCUCUUUCAGAAAAGUUCCCUUUCUUGUAGAGGCAAUAAUGGAUAUUUGAUCUCGGAUCUCCUUUUCAACUUCUUUUAUAACAGACAACCCUAUGUGGUCAAAGGGAGUAGGUAAAGAAUUCUCACUGCACCUCUUACUCCUAUUUCUCUCUACUUUGAAACGCAUGAAUCACAUUCAAUAGAACAUUUUAAAAUGUUAUCUUCAAGUUUCUCUGAGGGAGAUGUCUACUCCCUUUGAACACAUAAUAUUUUGUCCCAAGGGCAUUCCAGAUGACCAGCCAUGGCAUGUUUGUGUUAUGACAACCCCAAGACUCUAGUGGAAACUCCACACCUUACUUCCCUCCCUCCCUGCACAGGCACACUUGACAGCUGUACCUCUCCUCUGCUUCAGACAAAUCUUCCCUUUUUUAGCAACUGCCUUAUCUCUCCUUGAACAUUCCCAACAAAGGUAAUGACAGAUUCUGUGCUACUUCCAACCUUCAAAGCAAACGGGAACUGUUUCUAUUCUUUCGCGUCUAGUGUCUUUGUAUAUAAUUUAUUCUCCAAGGCAGGGGUCAGCAAGUACAACCCACAGGACAAAUUUGGCCUGCUGCCUGUUUUUUUCAGAAGGAGGGUUAUUAAAUGGCACUUUUAUUAAUUUUAGUUUAGAUAAACUUUACUCUGCUAAGGCAGUAGCUCCAAAAUUGUUAAUAAAAAUUAUUAAAGCAAUAUUUAGAUUAAAAAAUGGACUCAGAAUUUUUUCUUUUUUUUGAACUGAGAAUUUUUGAUACCACAUUAACAAACUGGAAUGCAGUCAAUUAUGACAAAUCACUAUCCUAUAUACUUAAAACUAGUUUAAUUUUUCAUAUAAUGUGUAUCAUGAUUUUCACUGCUUUUCAGAGCAAUAUAUACAUCCAAAUGGUAUUUCUUAAGACCUUUUUAACAGUAAAACUUUAAAAGGUGUUUUUAGUUAAAAAAAACUGUUUUUUUUAUUGUGUACCACAUGAUGUUUUAAAACAUGUACGCAUUGUGGGAUGACUAAAUUGAGCUAAUUAACAAAUGCAUUACCUCACAUACUUACCAUUUUCUGAUGAUGAGAACACUUAAAAUCUAUUCUCAGUGGUUGUCAAGAAUACAAUACAUUGUUAUUAAUGAUAGUCACUGUAUUGUACUCUAAAUCUCUUGAACUUAUUUUUGCUAUCUAACCAAAAUUUUGUAUCCUGCUGCCUGUUUUUAAACGUAGGCUAUGUGCUAAGAAUGCUGUCUUAAAAUUAAUUACACUCCAUAGAGUUUUAUGAAGGUCAGUUUUAAAAGUACUGCAAAUAAAACACUGUAAGUUGCAAAAGGUUAUAUUGCAAGGGAUACCUUCUUAUAUAUAGGUUAGAGCUAUAAGGGGGAGUUUGGCAGUUCUGGGUUCCAUUUCUAACUUUAUCAUUUACUGGCUGUGUAAGCCACUUGAACUCUCCAGUUCAAAGAAACUUUCUUAGGUUUUUUUAUUUUUUUUUUCUGCAAAAUAGAGAUAACAAUAAUACCCAUUCCAUGGGGAUGUCUUGAAGAUAGAUUUAAAUAAUGCAUGUGAAGCUCAGCACAGUGCCCGAUCCAUAGUAAGUAUUCAGUAGAGGUUACCUGUCUUUCACUUCAUCAUACUUACUAAAAGGAUUAGAAAUUAGAAAGUUUCUAAAAUGUUACAGUGCUCAGCAAAUAGUAAACACUCAAUAAAUGGCAUGUCAAAUAACAAAAACAAAACAUACUCCACCGCACUCCAGCCUGGGCAACACAAGACCCUCUCACAGACAAAAACAAACAAACGAAAUCCCUACAAAACAAAACAUUGGAAACAAUUGUUACAAUAACAGUUUCUUACCUCCAUUCUAUUAACAGGAAAGGAAGUUCCCACAGGAAGUCAAAUUAAAGGAGAAAAGAAAGAACGUUAGUACAUUUUCAUCUUAUGCUUUGGCUGAGAUUGUUUUGAUACUACUGAUCUCUAAGUUUCUGAAAAGUUCUCCGCUUCUGCUAGGAGGCCAGAUGCUGCAUUAAUGGGCAGAUUCGGAGGAAAUGAAGAAAAUAUUGAGUAUCUUUAGGAAGCAGGUUCUUUUCAAACUGAGUCAAUCAUGGGUAACAUCCACCAAGGCAAUAUCUAAGCUCAGAAUUUCCCUCCAUUAGCUACCCAGGGACUUUACAUUAAGAAAUCAAGAUGUGGGCCGGGCGCGGUGGCUCACGCCUGUAAUCCCAGCACUUUGGAAGGCCGAGGUGGGCGGAUCAUGAGGUCAGGAGAUCGAGACCAUCCUGGCUAACACGGUGAAACCCCAUCUCUACUAAAAAUACAAAAAAUUAGCCGGGCGAGGUGGCGGGCGCCUGUAAUCCCGCUACGUGGGAGGCUGAGGCAGGAGAAUGGCGUGAACCCCCGGGGGGCGGAGCCUGCAGUGAACCAAGAUCGCGCCAGUGCACUCCAGCCUGGGCGACAGCGAGACUCCGUCUCAAAAAAAAAAAAAAAAAAAAAAAAAAGCAAGAUGUGGAGGUUAACAGAGAAGAUGCAUAAAGCAGACUUGGAAAAAAAGAAAAAAGAAGGAGAAGGAGAAAAGAAAAGAACAUGCAGAGGAGAGAGGGUAGAAGAGAAAGUAGGCAAUGGUUGUUCUCAUAGACCUGGCUGCCUCAAGGCUGUGUGCCCUGGGUAGCUGCAUGGCAUCUGCACUCAGAAGGGCCUCGGGCUUAAUUUAAUGUUCUGCUCUCCCUACCUUGAAAUCCUUACCGUUUUUGGAACACCUAGCCCUGCAAAUUAUGUAGCUGCCCAUGCUCACGGAUGUAAAAACUCAGGGCUCUGAGGAGAAUACGCCUCUCCUCUGGUGGUAUGUGAUUCCCAGGACAAACAGCCCCAACUCAGACUCUGCCAAGGCAUGAGAAUCCCGGCAAGGGUGUGAUAUAACCAGCAUUUCUGAAUUAUUCCAUUUUCUUUCUUGUAAAUUAAAAACUUCACACUCUUUACCAAGUGCUUUAUGGUUACUUCGUCCUGUCCUC
Homo sapiens (human) is the source of this 4037-nucleotide long non-coding RNA. RefSeq lists it as uncharacterized. Lineage: Eukaryota; Metazoa; Chordata; Mammalia; Primates; Hominidae. The record is from RefSeq and is a predicted model, not a curated record. The transcript is spliced from 3 exons.